CUUCUGAAGGCUGAGGGAUGCAAAGUGGGGCGGCAGAGGUUGGAGAAAGAGAGGAGCUGGUGAGGACACUAAGGUUUGGGGCCUGAGUCCCUGGAAAGACAGAGGUGGCAUUUUCUGAAGUGAAGAUGACUACAGGAGGGGUGGGGUCACGCAGGGAGGUGACGAAGUUCAGUUUCCUGCCGGGAGGCUGAGUUCAGUGAGGCGUGUGCAGCCGCAGCUGGGUAUUCAAGCCUGAGUUCAGGUGAAACAUGCUGGCAGGAGGUGUAUGUUUGGAGGUGUUUAGCGUGGAGAUGGUAUUUAGAGACUGGCUUUCUUCGUCUGUAAAAUGGGAAUUGAACACCAUCUGCUUUGCAAGGUUGCUGUGAGCCUGGCUUAAGCAUUGAGAGGCCCCGGGCAGGUAGCAAAGUGAAGAUACGGAAAUGGAAGCUCAGAGAAGUUAGGUGACUGAGCCAGCAAACGGCAUAGCCGGGAUUCAAGGGCUGACCUUACAGUCCUGCGCUUGACCCUUCCCUCCUGUUGUCCGCAUUCCCAGCACCAGGCCCUUGGAUCCUAAACUGACCAGACUGGGGGAGGUUCCCAGUUGAGCAGGAAGAUGACCAUGAGUGGAAAUGCCUUCCAGGACAGGAAGAGCACAGGACCCAGAAUAUCUCUGAUAUUCUGGGAGACACUGAACCUGCUGUACAUAUGGAAAAAAGAAAAUGAAAUGUUUUGGACACUUGCUUCACCUGUGAGGUGAAUGCUUUCCAUCUACUUUACACAUACAUAGAAGCCCUCCACCCCCUGGUGAGGCCUACUGUGUGUUAGCACCUGCUGGCUGUGGGGGACAGAGGCAUGACACUCCUUGCCUCCUGGAACUUUCUGCACAGUGGAGAAGGCAGAUAAUUAUCAGAUUAUCUGAUCAUCAAAUACAAAUGCAUUGUCACAAGCUUUGAUCAGCGCUAAGAAGAAAAGCUACCUGGGACUGCAAGAAUGUUACAGACAUCAGGUGAUGGAAAGAGCCUGGGAGGAUGUACUCCAAAAUUUUAAAGGUGGAGUAAGAUUUCAGUACGCAGGCCUCUCACUGUUGUGGCCUCUCCCGUUGCAGAGCAC
Delphinapterus leucas (beluga whale) is the source of this 1089-nucleotide non-coding RNA. The record is from RefSeq and is a predicted model, not a curated record. NCBI's taxonomy places the organism in Eukaryota, Metazoa, Chordata, Mammalia, Artiodactyla, Monodontidae.